CUGUAGUCUCUAUGAUGAUAUGAAGGUAAAACACCAGCCCUGCUCACCUGUAGUCUCUAUGAUGAUAUGAAGGUAAAACACCAGCCCUGCUCACCUGUAGUCUCUAUGAUGAUAUGAAGGUAAAACACCAGCCCUGCUCACCUGUAGUCUCUAUGAUGAUAUGAAGGUAAAACACCAGCCCUGCUCACCUGUAGUCUCUAUGAUGAUAUGAAGGUAAAACACCAGCCCUGCUCACCUGUAGUAUCUAUGAUAUGAAGGUAAAACACCAGCCCUGCUCACCUGUAGUCUCUAUGAUGAUAUGAAGGUAAAACACCAGCCCUGCUCACCUGUAGUCUCUAUGAUGAUAUGAAGGUAAAACACCAGCCCUGCUCACCUGUAGUAUCUAUGAUAUGAAGGUAAAACACCAGCCCUGCUCACCUGUAGUCUCUAUGAUGAUAUGAAGGUAAAACACCAGCCCUGCUCACCUGUAGUCUCUAUGAUGAUAUGAAGGUAAAACACCAGCCCUGCUCACCUGUAGUCUCUAUGAUGAUAUGAAGGUAAAACACCAGCCCUGCUCACCUGUAGUCUCUAUGAUGAUAUGAAGGCAAAACACCAGCCCUGCUCACCUGUAGUAUCUAUGAUAUGAAGGUAAAACACCAGCCCUGCUCACCUGUAGUAUCUAUGAUAUGAAGGUAAAACACCAGCCCUGCUCACCUGUAGUCUCUAUGAUGAUAUGAAGGUAAAACACCAGCCCUGCUCACCUGUAGUCUCUAUGAUGAUAUGAAGGCAAAACACCAGCCCUGCUCACCUGUAGUCUCUAUGAUGAUAUGAAGGCAUAACACCAGCCCUGCUCACCUGUAGUCUCUAUGAUGAUAUGAAGGUAAAACACCAGCCCUGCUCACCUGUAGUCUCUAUGAUGAUAUGAAGGUAAAACACCAGCCCUGCUCACCUGUAGUAUCUAUGAUAUGAAGGUAAAACACCAGCCCUGCUCACCUGUAGUCUCUAUGAUGAUAUGAAGGUAAAACACCAGCCCUGCUCACCUGUAGUCUCUAUGAUGAUAUGAA
This is a long non-coding RNA of Oncorhynchus keta (chum salmon), 1043 nucleotides long. RefSeq lists it as uncharacterized. Lineage: Eukaryota; Metazoa; Chordata; Actinopteri; Salmoniformes; Salmonidae. The record is from RefSeq and is a predicted model, not a curated record. The transcript has 3 exons.